GUGUGACCCUAGCACAGGCCCGCCGUUACUCUUGAGGAAACUGCCUCACCCCGACAGCUCCUCGUCCACCUAGCGGGGCAGCUUUUCCCGCGGAGUCUCGUCUUCCGGCCAGAAGUCACCUCGGCCCGCCCACCCGGAAGCCGUCGUCUUAGCAACUCAGUAACGUCCCUCCAGCAUUCCUUCGCCACGCCCACCGAUUUGGGCAUCUGGAGCCAGUUUGCCUUUGAUUGGCCCGUCUCUCCUUCACUCUAGGAGACGUUUGGGGCGGCGAGAUUCCAAGCCUCUUACUUGAAUUUGUGGCGCGUAGAGUUCCUGAGGUGCACAAUUGAGCUGGGCGUCUUACUGGAGACAGCAAUCUGUGUUCUAUCCUCGUCUCCCUCACCAGCAGUAUCAUAAAGAAACAUUACAUCUUCCUUUGUCUCUGGAAAAAAAUGCCUUGGCAGAGAUUGGUGAGCGUCCCGCACCUCACAAACUGAAUCCAGAACUUUCCUCAUCGAGAAAGAGGAUGCUGCUGUGCUAAUUAUCCUAAGUGGGAAUGGAGUGAAGGUCACGUGGAGAGCGCACGUGACAGCGCUCUAUAAAGCACCACAGAAAUGUGACAUUAUCCCCAUUUUACAAGUGAAGAACCUGAAGCUCAGAGUAAGUACUUUGCCCAUUGACACAGCAUAAAGGAGUGACAGAGCUGGCGUUUGAAACAAGCGCCUGCCCCUGGCUCAGCGCCUGGUGCCAACAGAACACCUUUCAGGAUCCACAGCAACGCAGACAACGAGUCCAAGAUCCCGGCCUCUGCUUGGAACGGAACAGUGUCAUGGCGGAGACGACGGCCUUUGUCUUGCUGGGUGUGAAAGCAUCCGCUGUGCUGGCUCCACUGCGGCAGAAUCAAGUUUAAAGGAAGAAAGUGAUUAAAGUCAGCUCUGUGCCUCUUUGGUGUGGAAGACCCCCAAACCCCAAGUAGCCGAGUCCCUGGGUCCGAGGAAGGGCUCAUAGUUGGAGCAGCCUAGGCUGUAAUCCUGGCACUUGCGCCUUCGGUUGCUGCUUGCUGUUCGCUCCUGGGGGUCUGGAUAAUCUCCCUUGGCUUUACCGCACUGUCUGGCCCGCAUACAGGGCCCUCGUAACAUAUACCCGCUGCUGCUAUCACACGAAACUGUGGCGUUGCCCCUGAAUGGAUGGCACCGUGCCAACUCUUCUGCCAUCCGCCCUUGCAGCUUUUUUCUUUCCUCCCUCCCUCCCCUUCUUCUCCUCCUCCUCCCGUCGACUUGACGUUAAUUAACACACGGGUUAAUUGAUUUUAAAAGCCGAAGAAUUACAGUUAACUUUUCCCACAGGGUACAGACGCCAGCCGCUUGGCACACUCUGCCUUUCACACUGGUGCAGGGGGGCAGGGAAAGCCCGCAGCAGAACUGGCAACUGCUGAGGGAACGUUGCCUGCUUAUUGGAGUAGAGCCGAUAGAAGUCGACGUGGUGCUGCCUCAUCCUUACAGUAUAUAUAGCCAUUCGAUAUUUUGUUAAAUAAUCAAGCACACCCUGUCUUUCUUCUCCCUUCGUCUUCCAAAACAGGAAACCCCUUCAAAAGUUCUUAUGGGGGAAAAAUCCCUUCCCCUAGACCAUUUAUCUCUUCUAUAAUGUUUUUUUCCCAAUAAUAAGAAAAUGCCGGGGGACUUUUUUUUUUUAAGUUACAAGGAGGAAGGCUACCCCUUCCCUAAAUAUCACAUGUAAAGAAGCUAUUUUUUUAAGGAAAAAGUUCCAUAAAGUUUCUUUCUCUGUUAUCCCAGUGUUUUGUUUUGUUCCCAUUCCUCUUGACUCCGAUGGGUGAUUUAUGGUGAAGGAUUUCACUAAGAGAGUAGGUACAUUGUAAUUAAGAACAAAAUUCGUAUGAAGGCUCUUUUUGUUUGUUUGUAGGUUUGUAGAUUUUGCUUUGUGUCCCCUUUACCCCUUAUCCUGUAGAAAAUGAAAGCAACUGAUGCUGUAGUUGGGAAGGAGACAGGCAAAGCUGGAAACUUGAUGCUUCCACCUUUUCAUGCUUUCAUUUUAUUUCAUUUUGUUUUUUAAAAGCAUGCAGCAAGUGAAGCGACAAGAGGAAUCCAUUAUGCAAAUCAUGUCACUUUGCAUAAUGUCUCAUGACUGGAAUAUGCAAAUGAGCUGUAUAAUUUAUGAGUGCCAGUGUCUGUCUAAAAGUGUUUCACAUAAUUUACAAAGUAAGUCUGAGAGACAUGGGGAAGGCAGCUCUUCCAACACCAUUGCCAAGGAAGCUCUGUACGUUUUCCUACAAGUGCUCCCUGGUAAUAUUAUCAAGUGCUAUUUUUAAAUAAAUUAAGGUUCCAAAUAUUCAUGAAAGACGAAGAUUUUCCUCUCACUCUCUUCACCCAAAUUAUUUGCCUGAAAAUUUACAAGAAACUAAUAGUUUCUAAAGCAUUAAUUUUUGGAUUCAAUUGGGGGGGGGGAGGAAGUUGAGCCAAACUUUUGCGAUUUGUAUAUGGAUUUUCCUUUCAAAAGCAAGGAAUGUCUUAGAGAAACAGACACCUUAUCCAUUUAUCAGGAUCUUUGAAGGCAAUAAAGUGGAAUUUCUCAUUUUGGUUGGUUUUGUGUGUGCCCUGCUAUGUGCAGCAUUUUAUAAAUUAUAUUUUCUUGGAUGUGUUAGGCAUGUAAUAUGGAAACCAGAUGCAUUUAACAUUCUUCUGAAGUUAUAAUUCUGCUUUCAGAGAUGUCUUCACAAGAGAAAUGCUAGUCAUUGAAAACCAGGUUUAAAUUAAUUAAAUCAGCUUAGUUGGCUGCUGUAUGUCUCAUUUCGGUAACUUUUUUGAGUUGAUGAUUCUGAACCUUUCGAGAAGUCAUAGCAUCUCUGAUAAUCUCAACUAAUCUGCCCUUAUAUUUUUCAUUUCAGUCAUAGUAAGUUCUGUGAAAGAAAGAUACAGGGUGCCCUGAAAAUGUACACGAGGAGGACCUGAUCUUUGUAGAGCAUGUCAGAAAAGGCUUUCUGAAGGUGAAUUCAAGAUGCAUUGAAGUAUCAGAUUUCUGAAUCCUGCCUUAUGUGACCUAUUCCUUCUCUUUGUGAAGUUUUAUUUUCAAGAAUUUAAUAGCCAUUUAAGAAAAUAAAAAUAAGAGGAACACUUCACCCAACAAGAGCAGAAUACGGAUUCUCUUCAGCCCUAUUAGAACCAAGUUCUUUCCACAUCUGACAAAUGAUUAUUAUGAAAACAUCUUCCAGUAUCUUCACACAGCUAUUAAAGUAGUAUCAGUUGACAGUCAACCACAGAUCAACUUUAUGGGAGUCCAGGAGUCCAGCAGGGAAGUUCUAGCACACUGUUUGAGCAAAAAAAUCUAAGAAUAAAUGUAGUGAAUAAGGUGUAUCUUGUGCCAGUGACAUUGGUAACAGCUGGAAAGAAUUUAUUUCCUUGAUUGACUAAGUAGAAGAUGGUUCCCAGAACUGAUCUUUAAGUCUAAAUAAGCAUCCCCAGAGGUGUUGGAGUUUUCAACAAAGUUCUAGAAAGGAGGCAAAGAUUUUAAAGCCAUGGAUGACUAUCAUAGGUGUUGACAAUGACAAUCCUGAAGGAUUUGGAAGCUCUGCAUCACCCAAAGGAAAAGCGCCAGAGUCAGGAUGCAGUUCCAGGCAGGUGUCCCUCCUUACUCAAAAUGUGUCAAGGUCAGGUGCUGAUGAUCUGUGCCAGCAACUGUGAAGACAGGAAGACUGGAAGGAAAAAACACAACAGUUUUCUGGAACAGCGAGAUGCAAAAAUCCUGAACCUUCAAAGCCAGCUCCUGCAGAAGAGAGAGGGCCUGGCAGCUGAGCUGGAUGCUUCAGGAGCAGAGGAUCUAUCAACUGCAGACCAAGCAUAGGGAGACGCAGGCAGACCUGGAACAGAAACCCAGCCAGCGCCAGCCGCUCCGACAGUACUUGGUGGCCGGAGAGUCGGCAGCAGGAAGCAUGAGGCAGGAAAUGACCCAAUCCUUGAGGUCUGCUUAUAGAUAAAGAAAACAAAGAUCCAGCUGGGACAGACUCGAAUGGAUGCACCUACUUUCAUGCCCAGGCUUUCAGAGGAGCAGGUAAAUGAGGAAUAAGAGGUCUGCUUCCUGCUAGCAUUGUCAUUGGCCUCCAUGCUGUGCCUAAGCAUCGUGCCUAUGAAGACAGUGAGCUCAUUCCUAUAUAGGAUGAGUACAUCAAACAGUAGACGUCUUUCUCUGAGUCAACUUGGUCAAAUGACACCUUCCCUCUGAGGGUCACUGCUUCUUAGGCAGAUUUAUACAGGAGGCUUCUUGCAAAGGAGAUCUGCCUUCUCAUUUGUCACCAGGAUCCAUGAUGCCCAAAAGAGGAGAUUGGACUGGAUUGCAAUGUCUCCAUCUGACCUGGAAAACUCUAGCUCCAUGAAGAUUUCCAUAGUCACCAUGCUCUCUGGGUAGAGUCAGCAACAACCACCAGCAGCAUGUCCUAGUUCCACACUGCCGUUCCUUCUCUUCUCUGCUUCUCUACACGUUUCCUAUUCCAGCACAGCAUUAGAACAGUGUUACUAGCUAGGUAAGUGAUUUGCAGCUACAUUUUCCCCCCUUAUUAGAGGGAAGUACCCACUUAAAGGAAGACACUGCAGAAACCAUCCCCCUUUUUUUCCCCUCAAAAGACCUUUCUUAUCAUCUUCCUAUGUUUUUAAGUUUCCUUUUGCUUGACCUUCAACAUGGAGUUUCUAAGGGCUGGACUCUGCCUUGUCUUCAUUUAGCUGUUAAAGCAGGUUUUACGUCCUUUUUAAAGUGACAUUCGUAAAAGAGGGAGGUCAUCAGUGGUAGGGCUGUGCAAAGACUCGGCCAGGGAGAACACUGCCUUGUGCCUCAAAACACAGGCAGACCACUGAAAACACCUGAACAGACGGGGGAGAGGUGACCUUGGGUUGGAAACAAAGAACUGGGCCCUGGAAGCAUGCCUCUUUGCUCCCCACAACACCACAGCAACUCACCCUGGGAAGAGCAAGAGCACAGAAAACAAAGGCUCAUUUGGCAUCUCUGAUAUCAUCUUUGGAAGUGAAUAAGACAAAUAACUUAAAAGGGGCUGGAGAGAUCGAUGAUGCUGCUAACUUGAGACUGUCCAUAUGAGAGACUCUGAUUUAUCAGCCUUCAUAAGAGCGGAUAAGCUCUGAAAUGAGUGUUCUGUGAUCGGCGGUUGUACCUCCUGCUAAUCUGUG
Acinonyx jubatus (cheetah) is the source of this 5165-nucleotide long non-coding RNA. RefSeq lists it as uncharacterized. Lineage: Eukaryota; Metazoa; Chordata; Mammalia; Carnivora; Felidae. The record is from RefSeq and is a predicted model, not a curated record. The transcript has 16 exons.